GUCCGGGUGGCGGAAUGGUAGACGCGCUAGCUUGAGGUGCUAGUGCCUAUUUUAUACAGGCGUGUGGGUUCAAGUCCCAUCCCGGACACCG
This 91-nucleotide transfer RNA is filed under the name Bifidobacterium scardovii. RNAcentral's name for it is "tRNA-Leu". It matches the Rfam family "tRNA". From Rfam's summary of the family: Transfer RNA (tRNA) molecules are approximately 80 nucleotides in length. Their secondary structure includes four short double-helical elements and three loops (D, anti-codon, and T loops). Further hydrogen bonds mediate the characteristic L-shaped molecular structure. tRNAs have two regions of fundamental functional importance: the anti-codon, which is responsible for specific mRNA codon recognition, and the 3' end, to which the tRNAs corresponding amino acid is attached (by aminoacyl-tRNA synthetases). tRNAs cope with the degeneracy of the genetic code in two manners: having more than one tRNA (with a specific anti-codon) for a particular amino acid; and 'wobble' base-pairing, i.e. permitting non-standard base-pairing at the 3rd anti-codon position. The record is from RNAcentral. RNAcentral also lists the same sequence under 1 other name. Lineage: Bacteria; Bacillati; Actinomycetota; Actinomycetes; Bifidobacteriales; Bifidobacteriaceae.